This 356-nucleotide unclassified non-coding RNA is filed under the name soil metagenome. RNAcentral describes it as "partial contains 5.8S ribosomal RNA, internal transcribed spacer 2, and large subunit ribosomal RNA". The stretch from base 1 to 120 matches the Rfam family "5.8S ribosomal RNA", at positions 35 to 154 of the family's 154-position model. The record is from RNAcentral.
GAUGAAGAACGUAGUGAAAUGCGAUAAGUAAUGCGAAUUGCAGAAUUCAGUGAAUCAUCGAAUCUUUGAACGCACAUUGCGCCCGCCAGUACUCUGGCGGGCAUGCCUGUCUGAGCGUCAUUUCAACCCUCGCCCCCGGCUUCUGUCGGGGACGGUGUUGGGGAUCGGCCUCCCGUCUUCCGGGUGGCCGGCCCCUAAAUUGAGUGGCGACCACGCCGUAACCUCCUCUGCGUAGUAGUUAAACACUCGCGGGCGGAGAGCGGUGCGGCCUGCCGUAAAACCCCCAACUCUUCUAAGGUUGACCUCAGAUCAGGUAGGAAUACCCGCUGAACUUAAGCAUAUCAAUAAGCGGAGGA